RNAcentral lists this ribosomal RNA (253 nucleotides) under uncultured bacterium. RNAcentral's name for it is "partial 16S ribosomal RNA". It matches the Rfam family "Bacterial small subunit ribosomal RNA", at positions 524 to 776 of the family's 1533-position model. The record is from RNAcentral.
UACAGAGGGUGCGAGCGUUAAUCGGAAUUACUGGGCGUAAAGCGCACGUAGGUGGCGACGUAAGUCGGGUGUGAAAGCCCCGGGCUCAACCUGGGAAUUGCAUUCGAGACUGCAUUGCUGGAGUACGGAAGAGGAGGGCGGAAUUCCCGGUGUAGCGGUGAAAUGCGUAGAUAUCUGGAGGAACACCGGUGGCGAAGGUGGCAUCCUGGACCGACACUGACGCUGAGGAGCGAAAGCCAGGGGAGCAAACGGG